RNAcentral lists this ribosomal RNA (383 nucleotides) under uncultured Synergistaceae bacterium. RNAcentral's name for it is "bacterial SSU rRNA". It matches the Rfam family "Bacterial small subunit ribosomal RNA", at positions 1010 to 1382 of the family's 1533-position model. The record is from RNAcentral. Lineage: Bacteria; Thermotogati; Synergistota; Synergistia; Synergistales; Synergistaceae.
GAGGACCCGGUCUUCGGACUGGGAGCGUACACAGGUGCUGCAUGGCUGUCGCCAGCUCGUGUCGUGAGAUGUUGGGUUAAGUCCCCGCAACGAGCGCAACCCCUGCUGCCAGUUGCCAACGGGUGAAGCCCGGGCACUCUGGCGGGACUGCCCAUCGACAAGAUGGAGGAAGGUGGGGAUGACGUCAAGUCAUCAUGGCCCUUAUGUCCAGGGCGACACACGUGCUACAAUGGCCGGCACAGCGGGAAGCGAGGCAGUGAUGCCAAGCGGAUCCCUUAAAGCCGGUCUCAGUUCGGAUUGAAGUCUGCAACUCGACUUCAUGAAGCUGGAAUCGCUAGUAAUCGCAGAUCAGCCAAGCUGCGGUGAAUACGUUCCCGGGCCUU